Molecule: ribosomal RNA, 473 nt
Filed under: uncultured bacterium
Lineage: Bacteria
Description: bacterial SSU rRNA
Rfam family: Bacterial small subunit ribosomal RNA
Source: RNAcentral
UGGGGAAUAUUGGACAAUGGGGGCAACCCUGAUCCAGCAAUGCCGCGUGUGUGAAGAAGGCCUGCGGGUUGUAAAGCACUUUUGGCAGGGAUGAAAAGCACUGGAUUAAUAACCCAGUGUGUUGACCUAACCUGCAGAAGAAGCACCGGCUAACUCUGUGCCAGCAGCCGCGGUAAUACAGGGGGGUGCGAGCGUUAAUCGGAAUUACUGGGCGUAAAGGGCGCGUAGGCGGUCGAGUAAGUCGGAUGUGAAAUCCCCGGGCUUAACCUGGGAAUUGCAUUCGAUACUGCUUGGCUAGAGUGUGGAAGAGGGAAGCGGAAUUUCCGGUGUAGCGGUGAAAUGCGUAGAUAUCGGAAGGAACACCAGUGGCGAAGGCGGCUUCCUGGUCCAACACUGACGCUGAGGCGCGAAAGCGUGGGGAGCAAACAGGAUUAGAUACCCAAGUAGUCCCUGAGCGGGCUGGCAAGGCGCAU